UACAGAGGGGGCGAGCGUUGUUCGGAAUUACUGGGCGUAAAGGGCGCGUAGGCGGCCUCUUAAGUCGAACGUGAAAUCCCCGGGCUCAACCCGGGAACUGCGUCCGAUACUGGGGGGCUUGAAUCCGGGAGAGGGAUGUGGAAUUCCAGGUGUAGCGGUGAAAUGCGUAGAUAUCUGGAGGAACACCGGUGGCGAAGGCGGCAUCCUGGACCGGCAUUGACGCUGAGGCGCGAAAGCCAGGGGAGCAAACGGG
Molecule: ribosomal RNA, 253 nt
Filed under: uncultured bacterium
Lineage: Bacteria
Description: partial 16S ribosomal RNA
Rfam family: Bacterial small subunit ribosomal RNA
Source: RNAcentral